CGUGUAGGCGGCUCAUCAAGUCUGGUGUGAAAAACGCAAGGCUUAACCUUGCAUAGGCGCUGGAAACUGGUGGGCUUGAGUUCCUGAGGGGAAGCUGGAGUUCCAGGUGUAGGGGUGAAAUCUGUAGAUAUCUGGAAGAACACCGGUGGCGAAGGCGAGCUUCUAUCAGAGGACUGACGCUGAGGCGCGAAAGCGUGGGGAGCAAACAGGAUUAGAUACCCUGGUAGUCCACGCUGUAAACGAUGUGCACUAGGCGUGGGGCACGUACGUGCUCUGUGCCGUAGUUAACGUGAUAAGUGCACCGCCUGGGGAGUAUGCUCGCAAGGGUGAA
Molecule: ribosomal RNA, 331 nt
Filed under: uncultured bacterium
Lineage: Bacteria
Description: bacterial SSU rRNA
Rfam family: Bacterial small subunit ribosomal RNA
Source: RNAcentral